Molecule: small nuclear RNA, 155 nt
Filed under: Jaculus jaculus (lesser Egyptian jerboa)
Lineage: Eukaryota; Metazoa; Chordata; Mammalia; Rodentia; Dipodidae
Description: U1 spliceosomal RNA (ENSJJAG00000002461.1)
Source: RNAcentral
GUCCUCACAUGCGGGGAGACUCCCUGACUGCGAAGGUGGCUUUCCCAGGGACGCUUACCCUUGGCACUCAGAGUGUGCUGACUUUGAAGAUUUCCCCAACUCUGGGAAACUUGACACCAUAAUCUGUGGUCAGCAGGAAUGACAUUUGUUCUUUU